This 860-nucleotide ribosomal RNA is filed under the name uncultured bacterium. RNAcentral describes it as "bacterial SSU rRNA". It matches the Rfam family "Bacterial small subunit ribosomal RNA", at positions 88 to 930 of the family's 1533-position model. The record is from RNAcentral.
AAAGCGAGCGGCGGAUGGGUGAGUAACACGUGGGGAACCUGCCCCUAAGUCUGGGAUACCAUUUGGAAACAGGUGCUAAUACCGGAUAAUAAAGCAGAUCGCAUGAUCAGCUUUUGAAAGGCGGCGUAAGCUGUCGCUAAGGGAUGGCCCCGCGGUGCAUUAGCUAGUUGGUAAGGUAACGGCUUACCAAGGCGACGAUGCAUAGCCGAGUUGAGAGACUGAUCGGCCACAUUGGGACUGAGACACGGCCCAAACUCCUACGGGAGGCAGCAGUAGGGAAUCUUCCACAAUGGACGCAAGUCUGAUGGAGCAACGCCGCGUGAGUGAAGAAGGUUUUCGGAUCGUAAAGCUCUGUUGUUGGUGAAGAAGGAUAGAGGUAGUAACUGGCCUUUAUUUGACGGUAAUCAACCAGAAAGUCACGGCUAACUACGUGCCAGCAGCCGCGGUAAUACGUAGGUGGCAAGCGUUGUCCGGAUUUAUUGGGCGUAAAGCGAGCGCAGGCGGAAAAAUAAGUCUAAUGUGAAAGCCCUCGGCUUAACCGAGGAACUGCAUCGGAAACUGUUUUUUCUUGAGUGCAGAAGAGGAGAGUGGAACUCCAUGUGUAGCGGUGGAAUGCGUAGAUAUAUGGAAGAACACCAGUGGCGAAGGCGGCUCUCUGGUCUGCAACUGACGCUGAGGCUCGAAAGCAUGGGUAGCGAACAGGAUUAGAUACCCUGGUAGUCCAUGCCGUAAACGAUGAGUGCUAAGUGUUGGGAGGUUUCCGCCUCUCAGUGCUGCAGCUAACGCAUUAAGCACUCCGCCUGGGGAGUACGACCGCAAGGUUUGAAACUCAAAGGAAUUGACGGGGGGCCCGCACAAGC